GGACUUCCGGGGGCGGCGCGAACGGUAAUGGCGGUCUUCUCCCGACCGGAGAAGAAGCUCCGCUGAAACCGGGUCGUCCGCUACGGCGAAGCGGAGACCCAGUGAGAAAAACCCCAGGCAGCAAGAGCCUGGGGUCCUGAGGCUCGGCGGGCGCCAAGAGCAGCCCUCCAACUGCAGAAGGAGCCUCGUAAGAGGCUCCGGAGCGUGGAGGGGGGCUGCGGCGCUGUGAGCCGUUUCACAGUCAACGGAGUGAAGCCGCGCUGCUGCUGCCGGUGAGCGCUGAUCCCUUUUCCUGUUAAAAUUCGGACCUGGAAGAAAACAACUUACUCGUGAGUAAAGACUGAAUCACUUGGAAUUACAAAUUUUAAAUGAGAAGGUUUAAAUUGACUUGAAUUUGGCUGAAAGCGGAGAGACGUGGAAACAGGAAGUCCGUCUUCCGCUGCCAUUGAACUUGGAAAAAAAAGCAACUAAGGUGGAGGAGUGGAGGCUGAAAGAAAGAGAUUUUAAACUCUACACAGCCAAGCAUUUAUGGAACUUACAAUUUAAAGUAAAAUUAGCAAGUUAAAGAUUUGGACCUUUUAUUUGCACUUGACUUUCCCCUUUUAUUGGAUUACAAAUUGGAAGGUGAAACCCAGAGUCAGGACUGCCUGAGCAUUGUAACAGUGGGCUGUCAGUGUUUGACUUGGAUACUGUAUACUGGAAGUUGCAACAAUUUGAGGGCAUUGAGACAUUUUAAAUUUGAAACAUUCUUUUUGGAGACAAAUAAGCACUGUCUGCAACAAAGUGAUUACCUUUAAACUCUGCUUAAUACUUAUAUUGGAAGGUUCUGGGACAUUAAAUCAGACUCUGAAAAGACAUUUUAAGCUCCCUCUAGAGGAUUGGAUUAAAACAGUGACUUUAUAAAAACAUUUACUUUCGAUUCUCUUGUUGUCUGCUUGCUCUGGGACUCUCUAUUCCUGUGGGAAAAACUCAGUGUGACCUUGACUGAUAGAUAACAUUGGAAUGAGUGGUACAAGAAGAAGAGGAAGAGUUAGACAAACAACUCUAACAAAUCUAACCUCAGCCUCGCAGACACGUAGAUCAUCUGUGCCUACUUUGCCCUCAGAAGUACAACUUGAAGAAGCUGCCUUGCCACAGGCAAAAGAGGGAGAGGGUGAAGUAGAGCAGUUACAAUUGGAAGAUAUGGCCUCAGGAGCAUCUGCUUCUGUGCUAGAAAAAUCUUUGAAAAAUUGGAAGCUUUGGACAAGAAAGUAGAUGCGCAAUCAGCAAAGAUUGAUAAAAAUACAGAGUGUCUAAACAAAUUAACUACACAGGUGGGACAGAAUACACAAGCAAUUGGACAGUUGACGGAGGCCUCAGUAGAAAAUCGAAAAUUGGCUGAGGACACCAGACAAAAAUUGGAAAAUUUAGAGCAAGAGGUAAGACCACUCACUAAACAAGUUGGGGAACAUCAGAUUUAUCUUUCUAUGAUAGAACUGCGAAAUCGUGAGAAUAAUCUGAGGAUUAGAUCAUUACAAGAGGCAGAAGAAGGAAAUCUAACUGAGUUUUUGACCAAAGAACUUUCCAAGUUCUGGAAUUUGGAAGAAAAGGACUUUAAAAUUGUGUCAGCUUUCAGACUUGGAAGAUUUAUAAAGAAGGAGAGGCCCAGGGAUUGUUUGAUUACAUUGAGAUCGAAGGAGGAAAGGGAUAAGAUUUUGGGCCUACAUUACGAAAAGUCACUGGAAGUUUUGGAUAGAAGAAUUGAGAUAUAUAAAGAUAUCCCAAGACAACUGUUGGAUCUUAGAGCCGCCUAUUCUGAACUAGCUAAACUAUUAAGGAGCAACGCAAUUCCAUUCAGGUGGGAUUUUCCCCAGGGAUUGUCUUUUACCUUUAGAGCGAGAAAGGUUAAAAUUAGAACAUUGGAAGAGAGAGAUAAAUUUCUGGCUACACACGGAGAGGACCUACAUAAAGGAAUUGAACUACCUUCCGGGCCUGAGGCAAAGCCAGCAUCAAUACCUCCACCUCGGGAACUUGAAGAUCAAGAGAAGACACCACCCCAGGAGAAAUAACCAGAUAGAUCCAGGAUGUCUCUGCAACUGUUGAGCUGGAAUAUUAAUGGUUGCAAUAUCCCGGAGAAAAGGAAGAAAAUUUUUCAUAUAUUAAAAAAAGAACAAUUGGACAUUAUUUGUUUACAAGAAACACAUGUGACGAGGCUCCACAGAAAAGUGUUAACAAAUAAAAGAUUGGGCCAGGAAUUUAUUUCGUCGGAUAAAGUGAAGAAGAGAGGAGUGGUGAUAUAUGCAAAAGAGAGCCUGUCACCUAAAUUUCUAUUUAAAGAUGAACAUGGAAGGAUUUUGGCUAUUGAGAUACAAUAUCAAGGAGAGAAAUUGCUGAUAUUAGGAAUCUAUGCGCCUAAUGAAGGGAAAUCGGAAUUUUACAAGAAGUUGCAGGGGACAAUGCUGGAUCAUCUGGAUUACAACAACAUCAUAAUGAUGGGAGACAUGAACGGGGUCGUGUCAACUAACAUGGACAAGUCGCAAAGUCAAAACAUCACAAAAGAUGGCAGACUACCUAAAACCUUUUUGAAAUGACUGACAAUAUGGACUUGAUCGACAUUUGGAGAACAAAAACCCACUAGGUAGAGAAGGAACAUUCUUUUCUGAAGCCCAACUGACCUGGACAAGAAUCGACCAAAUAUGGAUCUCUAGAGGCCUGGCACCUAGGGUUAGAAAAGUGGAAAUCUGCCCAAAGACCUGUUCUGACCACAACGCAGUAAAGAUGGACAUGACACUACUACCAACUGGAUCCUUUAGAUGGAAGAUGAAUGACAAUUUGUUUAGAGAUCAGGAAAUUACCAAGAAGGCCCAAAAAGUUUUGAAAGAUUAUUUUGAGAUAAAUAUGAACAAUUCGGUGGAAAAAAGAAUCGUCUGGGACGCAAGCAAAGCUGUCAUGAGGGGUUUUCUGAUACAACAGAAUGUAGUAAAGAAAAAAACACAAAAUGAGAAAAAAGACAAGAUUUUGGAUAAAAUAAAAGACUUGGAGAAGAAAUUAAGAGUGAAUCCAAAGUCACAGCCAACUCUGAGAGAAAUUAAACUUUAUCAAACACAGUAUUCUAAAUUGAUAAAUCAGGAAAUUGAAUGGAAGAUCAAAUUAAUGAAACAAAAACGUUUGAGUCGGCGAAUAAAUGUGGAAAACUGCUAUCUUGGCAGUUGAAGAGAAGACAAAGAUUAAACACGGUUACAAAUUUAGAGGUUGAUGGAAGAAACAUUCAGAAUCCAGUGGACAUUAGAAAGUGUUUCCAGAGAUAUUUUAAAAAGUUAUAUACCCAAGGGCCGCAAGACGAAGUUGAGAUUAAACAAUUUUUGGCAAAAAAUGGAUUAUCUAAACUGUCACAAGAAAAUAGGACAAUCCUGAACUCUAAAAUAACACGACAGGAGAUUGAACAAGCCAUUCAGA
This is a non-coding RNA of Podarcis lilfordi (Lilford's wall lizard), 3435 nucleotides long. The record is from the annotation of a GenBank genome assembly. NCBI's taxonomy places the organism in Eukaryota, Metazoa, Chordata, Lepidosauria, Squamata, Lacertidae.